Molecule: ribosomal RNA, 485 nt
Filed under: uncultured bacterium
Lineage: Bacteria
Description: bacterial SSU rRNA
Rfam family: Bacterial small subunit ribosomal RNA
Source: RNAcentral
GACGAACGCUGGCGGCGUGCUUAACACAUGCAAGUCGAACGGUGACCCAGGGCUUGCCCUGGUGAUCAGUGGCGAACGGGUGAGUAACACGUGGGGCAACCUGCCCCUGACUUCGGGAUAACUCCUCGAAAGAGGAGCUAAUACCGGAUACGACCACUUCGGACAUCCGAUGGUGGUGGAAAGUUUUUCGGUCAGGGAUGGGCCCGCGGCCUAUCAGCUAGUUGGUGGGGUAAUGGCCUACCAAGGCGACGACGGGUAGCCGGCCUGAGAGGGCGACCGGCCACACUGGGACUGAGACACGGCCCAGACUCCUACGGGAGGCAGCAGUGGGGAAUAUUGCGCAAUGGGCGAAAGCCUGACGCAGCGACGCCGCGUGAGGGAUGAAGGCCUUCGGGUUGUAAACCUCUUUCAGCAGGGACGAAACGAAAGUGACGGUACCUGCAGAAGAAGACACCGGCUAACUACGUGCCAGCAGCCGCGGUAAU